RNAcentral lists this ribosomal RNA (367 nucleotides) under uncultured organism. RNAcentral describes it as "bacterial LSU rRNA". It matches the Rfam family "Bacterial large subunit ribosomal RNA", at positions 2099 to 2465 of the family's 2925-position model. The record is from RNAcentral.
CUUUACUGCAACUUGACAGUGAAGCUCGGGACAGUCUGCGUAGGAUAGGUGGGAGGCUGUGAAGCCGGGAUUCUGGUCUCGGUAGAGCCAUCCUUGAAAUACCACCCUGAUUGUUCUGGGCUUCUAACCCAGGCGUGUAAGCCACGCCGGGGACACUGUCUGGUGGGCAGUUUGACUGGGGCGGUCGCCUCCCAAAAAGUAACGGAGGCGCGCGAAGGUUCCCUCAGGCUGAUUGGAAACCAGCCGUAGAGUGUAAAGGCACAAGGGAGCUUGACUGUGAGACCGACAGGUCGAGCAGGUGCGAAAGCAGGUCUUAGUGAUCCGGCAGUUCUGUAUGGAAGGGCUGUCGCUCAUCGGACAAAAGGUA